Molecule: transfer RNA, 933 nt
Filed under: Melitaea cinxia (Glanville fritillary)
Lineage: Eukaryota; Metazoa; Arthropoda; Insecta; Lepidoptera; Nymphalidae
Description: misc RNA ENSMCXG00005003488.1
Rfam family: tRNA (bases 173-245)
Source: RNAcentral
UUAGAUAUUAAAAAUAGCACGGUGUCGUCUCCUGUCAAAGAUUUUCAUUGUAAUAUGAAACUUUGAAUAGUUACGGGUUUCUGUAAAGAGCUCACUAUAGACGGCGCCACGGUUCGCUUAAACCGAAAAUUAAAAAGUUAUCAUAUCGAAAAUUUCGCUCGAGCGGGUGCAUCGUUCCAUAGCUUAAUUGGCUAGAGCGCCGACACGGCAAGUCGGAGACGCGGGUUCGAACCCCGCUGGAGCGGUCAAUUUUUGAUAUGAUAUUCAAAAAUGUUUAGAAUUCCUAAUGUGAGUAACACAAAAAUAAAAAUCUUAGAUAUUAAAAAUAGCACGGUGUCGUCUCCUGUCAAAGAUUUUCAUUGUAAUAUGAAACUUUGAAUAGUUAUGGGUUUCUGUAAAGAGCUCACUAUAGACGGCGCCACGGUUCGCUUAAACCGAAAAUUAAAAAUUAUCAUAUCGAAAAUUUCGCUCGAGCGGGUGCAUCGUUCCAUAGCUUAAUUGGCUAGAGCGCCGACACGGCAAGUCGGAGACGCGGGUUCGAACCCCGCUGGAGCGGUCAAUUUUUGAUAUGAUAUUCAAAAAUGUUUAGAAUUCCUAAUGUGGGUAACACAAAAAUAAAAAUCUUAGAUAUUAAAAAUAGCACGGUGUCGUCUCCUGUCAAAGAUUUUCAUUGUAAUAUGAAACUUUGAAUAGUUACGGGUUUCUGUAAAGAGCUCACUAUAGACGGCGCCACGGUUCGCUUAAACCGAAAAUUAAAAAGUUAUCAUAUCGAAAAUUUCGCUCGAGCGGGUGCAUCGUUCCAUAGCUUAAUUGGCUAGAGCGCCGACACGGCAAGUCGGAGACGCGGGUUCGAACCCCGCUGGAGCGGUCAAUUUUUGAUAUGAUAUUCAAAAAUGUUUAGAAUUCCUAAUGUGGGUAACACAAAAAUAAAAA